CUUAUCAAGAGUGGUGGAGGGAACGGCCCUGUGAAGCCCGGCAACCUGCGUUUGCAAGGUGCUAAAUCCGGCGGCGAACGAAAGAUGAG
This 89-nucleotide non-coding RNA is filed under the name human gut metagenome. Its description in RNAcentral is "SAM riboswitch (S box leader)". It matches the Rfam family "SAM riboswitch aptamer (S box leader)". Rfam says of the family: The SAM riboswitch is found upstream of a number of genes which code for proteins involved in methionine or cysteine biosynthesis in Gram-positive bacteria. The SAM riboswitch acts at the level of transcription termination control. The record is from RNAcentral.